GAAUUCAUGUAAAUUUCUGGAUGGGGCAUCUGUCGCCCCACUGAUCACCAGGGUUGAUGUGGCUGAUCUGGCUGGCUACACGGGUGUCCCCUUCCUCACCCUCCCUGUGCGUCCUCAGCGGGAGAGGAGGACCUUCCCCGACUGGGGAGGACCGUUCUUCAGUCAAGGGUGUAGGAGUAGCUGUGCUCCCCUGCUAGAGCCUCCAAACAAGCUCUCAAGAAUUCAUUAAAUUUCAGAGAGACAUGAAUAAUAUUUUAGGGUCAGUAUGUCUUAUGCAAUUCGGGCGACAUAUAUUGGCAUAUACUUAUGCUA
This 312-nucleotide small nuclear RNA is filed under the name Microcebus murinus (gray mouse lemur). Its description in RNAcentral is "7SK RNA (ENSMICG00000023786.3)". It matches the Rfam family "7SK RNA". From Rfam's summary of the family: 7SK was discovered as an abundant small nuclear RNA in the mid-70s but a possible function has only recently been suggested. Two independent studies have found that 7SK RNA binds the CDK9/cyclin T complex (known as elongation factor P-TEFb). P-TEFb activates transcription by phosphorylating the C-terminal domain of RNA polymerase II. Lineage: Eukaryota; Metazoa; Chordata; Mammalia; Primates; Cheirogaleidae. The record is from RNAcentral.